CAGGGAGACAACAACUGAUCGUGAUGUCUGAGUACUUUAUUCUCAGGCCAUGAUCCUGUCAUCUCGAAGGUCGAUCGGUACCUCAACUUCAAGGUUGAGAUGAAUGAGAUACCUCGGUAAGUCAUUCAUGCUCAGGUCUUGAUUUUUAGUUCCUAAACGUUGUCUAGGUCACCCCAUAGAGGGUUCACUUCCUGGGCCAUUAGCUCAGGUGGUUAGAGCGCACCCCUGAUAAGGGUGAGGUCCCUGGUUCAAGUCCAGGAUGGCCCAUGCCAAGGUCCAGUAAUGGAUCCAUUGGGGGUUUAGCUCAGUUGGUAGAGCGCCUGCUUUGCAAGCAGGAUGUCAGCGGUUCGAGUCCGCUAACCUCCACUAACAUCUGAACUCCUGAAGCAGGAAGCAAUUCUUGUGAGGUGACAUAGACGUUGUUCGCUGAUCAAGAGCACUCGAGAGAUCGAGUGGAGUUCAGCCUCAGAUCAUUCCCCAGUCUUUGAUCCACCGAUCAAGGUUGAGAUGGUUGAUCUGAUGCUGGAUUCAGCGAAGGAGCCUCGCGAGGGGCUUUUUCAAUGGUAUUCAGCAGAACCUUGACAACUGCAUAGGUGAGUCUGGAAAGACAAAGCAUCUCAUAGAGGCGAGAUGAUGACGUCUGAUGUUCCAUCAUUGAUGGAUGAUCAGGUUGAGUCAACUCGUGAUUCUAUUUUUGAGAGCCGAGACCUUCUAGCGUUCUUCCCAAUCCGCCGAGUUGCGGGGUCUUUGCGGGGAGUUUGAUCCUUGCUUGAUAGUCCUGUUAUCUUUUGAUUGGGAAACCAAUCAAUAGCGAAGCUGCUUGCCAAAUUUGAGAGAAUAGGCCUCAACAGCCUGAAGCGUUAGGAGGAUACAUUU
This 876-nucleotide transfer RNA is filed under the name Synechococcus sp. CB0102. RNAcentral's name for it is "16S-23S ribosomal RNA intergenic spacer". The stretch from base 294 to 366 matches the Rfam family "tRNA". Lineage: Bacteria; Bacillati; Cyanobacteriota; Cyanophyceae; Synechococcales; Synechococcaceae. The record is from RNAcentral.